GAAUAGCUUUCCCGAUACUGGACCUUCACACACGAAUAGCUUUCCCUUUCACCUGACCGGACCUGGCUUCUCCGAUCCUCUGCCCCUCCACACAUGAAUAGCUUUCCCUUUCACCUGACCGGACCUGGCUUCUCCGAUCACGAAUACCUUUCCCUUUCACCUGACCGGACCUGGCUUCUCCGAUUCUCUGCCCCUCCACACACGAAUAGCUUUCCCUUUCACCAUACCGGACCCUGGCUUCUCCGAUUCUCUGCCCCUCCACACACGAAUAGCUUUCCCUUUCACCUGACCGGACCUGGGUUCUCUGAUUCUCUGCCCCUCCACACACGAAUAGCUUUCCCUUUCACCAUACCGGACCCUGGCUUCUCCGAUUCUCUGCCAUUUCUUUUCCACGGCAAGACCCACGGCAAGACCUAACGAUCCUUUCACGAUACCGGACAUGCCUUCUCCGAUUAUCUGUCAUUUUUUUUCCACGGCAAGACCCACCGAUCCGACCCAACAGACCGAUCCUCUACCUCUCCCUUUCCACGGCAACACCCAACAGCCCGAUACCGAUCCGACCCAACAGACCCAAAUCCAAUUCGCUCAAUUUCCACUCUUCCCCAGCCCAUCGCUCAAUGCAACCGACCCAGCCCGUCGAGACCGGCCCAAAGGUUUUUUUAUCAGAACCACAUGCACACAGAGAUAUAGUUUGGAAGGCACAAAGAGAGAGGCCGCAUACCCAUUACCCCAUAAUCGUGUACAACUUGAAAAGUGUUACUUUUGUUAGGAGCCCGAUGAAGUCAUCCUUCCUGUGCAAAUAGAAAAUCUUAAAGGAAAACAAUUUGUUUUCCAAAUACAACUAAAUAACUAUAAUCUCAACUAUGGAUGGGAAUUCUUCACUAUCAAGAAACUUUUUUACUCUUUUGAAGAAACUGACAAAGCAAUUCAGCUUGAUAAAAUGACAGAAGUUUACAUCAGUGAUACUUCAAAUGAAGAAGAUGGUGAUUGUACAACAUUUCAAAAACUUGAUGUUCAAACCAAGGUGCAGCUCACACCAACAUCUGUACUCAAGGAAAACAAAAGGGCAUAUUCAGGGACUACUACAAAGCAACAAAGGAAGAAGAUACAAAAAACACUUUAAAGUUGUCUUUCUAUCUCUAAGAUUUUCUAUGCACAAUUUGGUUUUAAUGAAUUUGUGAUUUUGAUACUAAAGACAUAUUGGAAAGGAAAUUUUGUUGCUUUUAUGCACAA
Long non-coding RNA from Quercus robur (English oak), 1233 nucleotides. RefSeq lists it as uncharacterized. The transcript has 4 exons. The record is from RefSeq and is a predicted model, not a curated record. Lineage: Eukaryota; Viridiplantae; Streptophyta; Magnoliopsida; Fagales; Fagaceae.